RNAcentral lists this ribosomal RNA (483 nucleotides) under uncultured bacterium. RNAcentral describes it as "bacterial SSU rRNA". It matches the Rfam family "Bacterial small subunit ribosomal RNA", at positions 12 to 507 of the family's 1533-position model. The record is from RNAcentral.
UUUGAUCAUGGCUCAGGACGAACGCUGGCGGCGUGCUUAACACAUGCAAGUCGAACGGUGACGAGGAGCUUGCUCCUCUGAUCAGUGGCGAACGGGUGAGUAACACGUGAGCAACCUGCCCCAGACUCUGGGAUAACAGUUGGAAACAGCUGCUAAUGCCGGAUACGAGACGGAGAGGCAUCUCUACCGUCUGGAAAGUUUUCGGUCUGGGAUGGACUCGCGGCCUAUCAGCUAGUUGGUGAGGUAAUGGGCUCACCAAGGGCGACGACGGGUAGCCGGCCUGAGAGGGCGACCGGCCACACUGGGACUGAGACACGGCCCAGACUCCUACGGGAGGCAGCAGUGGGGAAUAUUGCACAAUGGGCGAAAGCCUGAUGCAGCGACGCCGCGUGAGGGAUGAAGGCCUUCGGGUUGUAAACCUCUUUCAGCAGGGAAGAAGCGAAAGUGACGGUACCUGCAGAAGAAGCACCGGCUAACUACGUG